CAGUCGCCGCGGGAAUACAGAGGGUGCGAGCGUUAAUCGGAUUUACUGGGCGUAAAGCGUGCGUAGGCGGCUUUUUAAGUCGGAUGUGAAAUCCCUGAGCUUAACUUAGGAAUUGCAUUCGAUACUGGGAAGCUAGAGUAUGGGAGAGGAUGGUAGAAUUCCAGGUGUAGCGGUGAAAUGCGUAGAGAUCUGGAGGAAUACCGAUGGCGAAGGCAGCCAUCUGGCCUAAUACUGACGCUGAGGUACGAAAGCAUGGGGAGCAAACAGGAUUAGAUACCCGUGUAGUUCCUGUCUCUUAUAC
Molecule: ribosomal RNA, 301 nt
Filed under: uncultured bacterium
Lineage: Bacteria
Description: partial 16S ribosomal RNA
Rfam family: Bacterial small subunit ribosomal RNA
Source: RNAcentral